Molecule: ribosomal RNA, 537 nt
Filed under: uncultured Pseudomonas sp.
Lineage: Bacteria; Pseudomonadati; Pseudomonadota; Gammaproteobacteria; Pseudomonadales; Pseudomonadaceae
Description: bacterial SSU rRNA
Rfam family: Bacterial small subunit ribosomal RNA
Source: RNAcentral
CUCUUGAGAGCGGCGGACGGGUGAGUAAUGCCUAGGAAUCUGCCUGGUAGUGGGGGAUAACGUUCGGAAACGGACGCUAAUACCGCAUACGUCCUGCGGGAGAAAGCAGGGGACCUUCGGGCCUUGCGCUAUCAGAUGAGCCUAGGUCGGAUUAGCUAGUUGGUGAGGUAAUGGCUCACCAAGGCGACGAUCCGUAACUGGUCUGAGAGGAUGAUCAGUCACACUGGAACUGAGACACGGUCCAGACUCCUACGGGAGGCAGCAGUGGGGAAUAUUGGACAAUGGGCGAAAGCCUGAUCCAGCCAUGCCGCGUGUGUGAAGAAGGUCUUCGGAUUGUAAAGCACUUUAAGUUGGGAGGAAGGGCAGUUACCUAAUACGUGAUUGUUUUGACGUUACCGACAGAAUAAGCACCGGCUAACUCUGUGCCAGCAGCCGCGGUAAUACAGAGGGUGCAAGCGUUAAUCGGAAUUACUGGGCGUAAAGCGCGCGUAGGUGGUUUGUUAAGUUGGAUGUGAAAUCCCCGGGCUCAACCUGGGA